CCUACGGGAGGCAGCAGUGAGGAAUAUUGGUCAAUGGGCGGGAGCCUGAACCAGCCAAGUCGCGUGAGGGAAGACGGUCCUAUGGAUUGUAAACCUCUUUAGGCGGGGAGCAAUGCCGGGCACGCGUGCCCGGAGGGAGAGUACCCGCAGAAGAAGCAGCGGCGAACUCCGUGCCAGCAGCCGCGGUAAUACGGAGGGUGCGAGCGUUAUCCGGAUGUAUGGGGUUUAAAGGGGGCGUAGGCGGAUUUGUCAGUCAGCGGUCAAAUGUCCGGGCUCAACCCGGGCCGGCCGUUGAAACUGGGGAUCUUGCGUGGGCGAGCAGUAUGCGGAAUGCGUGGUGUAGCGGUGAAAUGCAUAGAUAUCACGCAGAACUCCGAUUGCGCAGGCAGCAUACCGGCGCCCGACUGACGCUGGGGCACGAACGCGUGGGGAUCGAACAGGAUUAGAUACCCUGGUAGUC
This 460-nucleotide ribosomal RNA is filed under the name uncultured bacterium. Its description in RNAcentral is "partial 16S ribosomal RNA". It matches the Rfam family "Bacterial small subunit ribosomal RNA", at positions 338 to 795 of the family's 1533-position model. The record is from RNAcentral.